ACCAGACUCCUACGGGAGGCAGCAGUGGGGAAUAUUGGACAAUGGGGGAGACCCUGAUGCAGCGACGCCGCGUGAGUGAAGAAGUAAUUCGUUAUGUAAAGCUCUAUCAGCAGGGAAGAAAAUGACGGUACCUGAGUAGGAAGCCCCGGCUAACUACGUGCCAGCAGCCGCGGUAAUACGUAGGGGGCAAGCGUUAUCCGGAUUUACUGGGUGUAAAGGGAGCGUAGACGGCAGUGCAAGUCUGGAGUGAAAGGCGGGGGCUCAACCCCCGGACUGCUCUGGAAACUGUACGGCUAGAGUGCAGGAGAGGUAAGUGGAAUUCCUAGUGUAGCGG
This 334-nucleotide ribosomal RNA is filed under the name uncultured bacterium. RNAcentral describes it as "bacterial SSU rRNA". It matches the Rfam family "Bacterial small subunit ribosomal RNA", at positions 330 to 681 of the family's 1533-position model. The record is from RNAcentral.